Molecule: long non-coding RNA, 418 nt
Organism: Eptesicus fuscus (big brown bat)
Lineage: Eukaryota; Metazoa; Chordata; Mammalia; Chiroptera; Vespertilionidae
Exons: 4
Source: RefSeq, a predicted model, not a curated record
GGCAGCAGAAACUUGAAACUAUGUGUUAGAGCUGGGGAGGAAUGUUCCUGGAUUUGCCACCAGAUCCAGAAACAACACUGUCUCUGAGUUUCAGGAGCCUUCUAACACAUUUGGCUAAAACCUUGGUCUGUCUUGCUGAAUUCACCUGACUAAUGCCACCGUUGAAAGACAGAUAAGAACACACGGAGAAUGUGACUUUCAGGGAAUGAAUAUGUGUCACGUUAUCAAGAUUGCUUCAUCAGCCCUUGGCUUUGUGCUCUGUGGACAUAAUCAAAGAAACACAAGGGGUCUGAUACCCAGGAAAGAUUCAUUGUCGUCAUCAUGGUCGUCGUCGUCGUCAUCAUCAUCAUCAUCAUCAUCAUCAUUGCAACAGGACUCGAAUUCUGAACAUGUGACUCCUGAUACCUGGGAAGCAAAG